This 243-nucleotide ribosomal RNA is filed under the name uncultured Actinomycetales bacterium. Its description in RNAcentral is "partial 16S ribosomal RNA". It matches the Rfam family "Bacterial small subunit ribosomal RNA", at positions 88 to 334 of the family's 1533-position model. The record is from RNAcentral. Lineage: Bacteria; Bacillati; Actinomycetota; Actinomycetes; Actinomycetales.
UACUCGAGUGGCGAACGGGUGAGUAACACGUGGGUGAUCUGCCCUGCACUUCGGGAUAAGCUUGGGAAACUGGGUCUAAUACCGGAUAGGAGCCAUCUUUAGUGUGGUGGUUGGAAAGUUUUUUCGGUGUAGGAUGAGCUCGCGGCCUAUCAGCUUGUUGGUGGGGUAAUGGCCUACCAAGGCGGCGACGGGUAGCCGGCCUGAGAGGGUGAACGGCCACAUUGGAACUGAGAAACGGUCCAA